RNAcentral lists this ribosomal RNA (492 nucleotides) under uncultured Bacteroidota bacterium. Its description in RNAcentral is "bacterial SSU rRNA". It matches the Rfam family "Bacterial small subunit ribosomal RNA", at positions 1004 to 1503 of the family's 1533-position model. Lineage: Bacteria; Pseudomonadati; Bacteroidota. The record is from RNAcentral.
GAAGCUCAUUUUGUAGCAAUACACAGAUUGUAAGGUGCUGCAUGGCUGUCGUCAGCUCGUGCCGUGAGGUGUUGGGUUAAGUCCCGCAACGAGCGCAACCCCCAUCAUUAGUUGCCAUCAGGUCAAGCUGGGAACUCUAAUGAAACUGCCGUCGUAAGACGCGAGGAAGGAGGGGAUGAUGUCAAGUCAUCAUGGCCUUUAUGCCCAGGGCUACACACGUGCUACAAUGGGAAGGACAAAGGGCUGCCACUUGGCGACAAGGAGCUAAUCCCAAAAACCUUCUCUCAGUUCAGAUCGCAGUCUGCAACUCGACUGCGUGAAGCUGGAAUCGCUAGUAAUCGUAUAUCAGCAAUGAUACGGUGAAUACGUUCCCGGACCUUGCACACACCGCCCGUCAAGCCAUGGAAGCCGGGUGUACCUAAAGUCGGUAACCGCAAGGAGCCGCCUAGGGUAAAACUGGUGACUGGGGCUAAGUCGUAACAAGGUAACCGU